Molecule: small nucleolar RNA, 77 nt
Organism: Alosa alosa (allis shad)
Lineage: Eukaryota; Metazoa; Chordata; Actinopteri; Clupeiformes; Clupeidae
Product: small nucleolar RNA SNORD83
Exons: 1
Source: RefSeq, a predicted model, not a curated record
GCCACAUGAUGUCUCUUAGAUAGCACUAGCACUAUGUGCAAAGAUGACUUUUAUCUACUACCCUAAAACUGAUGGCU